RNAcentral lists this ribosomal RNA (507 nucleotides) under uncultured fungus. Its description in RNAcentral is "bacterial SSU rRNA". It matches the Rfam family "Eukaryotic small subunit ribosomal RNA", at positions 828 to 1344 of the family's 1831-position model. The record is from RNAcentral. Lineage: Eukaryota; Fungi.
CCAAGGAGCGAUUUUGUUGGGGCUAGGACCGCCGUAAUGUUUAAUAGGGGCAGUCGGGGGGAUCUUUUUUCAAUUGUCUCAGGUGAAUUUCUUGGAUUUUUUGAAGACUACCUACUGCAAAAGCAUUUGCCCCGGAUGUUUUCAUUAUUCUGGAACAAAAGUUUGGGGAUCGAAGACGAUUAGAUACCGCCGUAGUCUUAACCAUCCACUAUGCCGAUUAGGGAUCGGACGGCGUUAUUUUUUGACCCGUUCGGCCCUUCUAAUAAUCAAACUGAUUGGGCUCCUGGUGGAGUGAGGUCGCACGGCUGAAACUUACUAAAUUGACGAGAGGGCACGCCCCCCGAGGAGCGUGCCGCUCAUUUGACUCAACACGGCGAAACUCACCCUCCCCAGACACGAUGAUGAUAGGGGAUUGACAUUUCUCUCUUGCUUUCUGGGGCGGCGGGGCAUGGUCGUUCUUCCUGCUGGAAGAUUUGGCUGCUUGCCUGGAUAUCACAACGAGACCUA